This 482-nucleotide ribosomal RNA is filed under the name uncultured bacterium. RNAcentral describes it as "partial 16S ribosomal RNA". It matches the Rfam family "Bacterial small subunit ribosomal RNA", at positions 30 to 507 of the family's 1533-position model. The record is from RNAcentral.
AUUGAACGCUGGCGGCAUGCCUUACACAUGCAAGUCGAACGGUAACGGGCCUUCGGGUGCCGCCGAGUGGCGAACGGGGGAGUAAUACAUCGGAACGUGCCCGAUCGCGGGGGAUAACGAGGCGAAAGCUUUGCUAAUACCGCAUACGAUCUACGGAUGAAAGCAGGGGACCGCAAAGCCUUGCUCGGACGGAUCGGCCGAUGGCAGAUUAGGUAGUUGGUGGGAUAAAAGCUUACCAAGCCGACGAUCUGUAACUGGUCUGAGAGGAUGAUCAGCCACCCUGGGACUGAGAAACGGCCCAGACUCCUACAGGAGGCAGCAGUGGGGAAUCUUGGACAAUGGAGGAGAGCGUGAUCCAGCCAUGCCGCGUGCAGGAUGAAGGCCUUCGGGUUGUAAACUGAUUUUGUACGGAACGAAAAGCCUUCUUUUAAUACAGGAGGGUCAUGACGGUACCGGAAGAAUAAGCACCGGCUAACUACGUG